This is a long non-coding RNA of Canis lupus familiaris (dog), 1272 nucleotides long. RefSeq lists it as uncharacterized. Lineage: Eukaryota; Metazoa; Chordata; Mammalia; Carnivora; Canidae. The record is from RefSeq and is a predicted model, not a curated record. The transcript has 4 exons.
CCCUCCGCCCCGCGCGGCCGCGCUUCUCGCCGCCCUCCUCGCGCAUGUGCGUCGCGGGAGGAAAGCACCUCCUGGGGGGCCCGGGAGGCGAGCCGCCCGCACUUCACCGCAAGGAAAACCUUUCACCACAACCCUGGACAGCAAUCUUUUCGAGCAUUAUCUCCAUCGCACUGAUGAGAGAACUGAGGCUACAAAAGCGUAAAUUCAGGCCCGGUGGCGUCCUGGUUUUUAUGUGGACAUAAACUUUAAACUCAUUUGGAUAAAUAUCAAGGAACAUGAUUGCUGGAUCAUAUGAUAAUAAAUAAAUCUUUAAAAUGUCAGAUGCCUACACCACAUCUCAGACCACUUUGUCAGAAUCACUAAAGCUGGCCAAGAAAGAAUUCUUGAGACAUCUUCAUUCCAAAAUGGUGGGUUUUUUAAAGCACAAGGACAGGACCUAUGGACAGAAGAGCUGCUGUUGCUGCUGCCUGCUGCUCCCUGCUGCCUCGGGAUUGUGAGGAGCAAUUGAUCAUAUACCUUGGGGUUGGAAGAAGUAAAAAUAAGGGAAGUUCCGAAAGGACUUUCGUAUGUUAAAGAAGACUCAGGAUACUGGAGGAAUGUUAUAAUCUGCCUAUUACAAGUAUUUGUCAAUGGGCUGCAGGUUAUGAGGAGAUUUAAUUUUAUCUACAUUUCCUUCUGCCUGUUUCCUACAUCAAUGUUGAGCAUCUUUAGUGUGUUUAUUGGCUGUUCAUAUAUCUCCUUUGAAGAAAUGUCUAUCAAAAUCCCUUACCCUUACCCAUUUUUAAAUUGGGUUAUUUUUUCAUUGCCGAGUUGUAAGAGUUGUUUGUAUAUUCUGGAUGAAAGUUCCUUGUCAGAUAAAUAAUUUGCAGAUAUUUUCUCCCCAUUCCAUGGGUUGCUUUUUCAAUUUCUUAAUGGUGUCCUUUAAAGCACAAAAUUUUAAAAUUUUUGUGAAGUCUGAUUUAUUUUUUAUUUUGUCACAGGUAGUUUCAGUACCUAAUAAACCAUUAUCUAAUCCAGGAUCAUGGAGAUUUACACUUACGGUUUCAUCUAAGAGUUUGUUUAAGCUCUUACAUUAAGGUUUAUGAUCCACUUUAAGUUCAUUUUCAUAUAUAUUGUGAACUACAAAUCAAACUUUUGUUUUCUCUUUUUGGUACAGGGAUAUCCAGUUGUCUCAGCAUCAUUUUUGUAAAGACUGUUCUUUUCCCAUAAAUUUCUUGGCACCCUUGUUGAAAAUCAACUGACCAUAAAAAUAAAGUUUAUCUGGACUGUCAA